RNAcentral lists this ribosomal RNA (559 nucleotides) under uncultured bacterium. RNAcentral describes it as "bacterial SSU rRNA". It matches the Rfam family "Bacterial small subunit ribosomal RNA", at positions 329 to 896 of the family's 1533-position model. The record is from RNAcentral.
GCCCAGACUCCUACGGGAGGCUGCAGUCGAGAAUCUUCGGCAAUGGGCGCAAGCCUGACCGAGCGACGCCGCGUGGAGGAUGAAGGCCUUCGGGUUGUAAACUCCUGUCGAGGGGGAGGAAGGGGUAACCUUGACCUAUCCCUGGAGGAAGCACGGGCUAAGUUCGUGCCAGCAGCCGCGGUAAGACGAACCGUGCGAACGUUAUUCGGAAUCACUGGGCUUAAAGCGCGUGUAGGCGGAUGGGGACGUCGGUUGCUGAAAUCCCCCGGCUCAACCGGGGAACGGGCGCCGAAACGCCCCGUCUGGAGGGACGUAGGGGGACCUGGAACUUCCGGUGGAGCGGUGAAAUGCGUUGAGAUCGGAAGGAACGCCCGUGGCGAAAGCGAGGUCCUGGACGUCUUCUGACGCUGAGACGCGAAAGCUAGGGGAGCAAACGGGAUUAGAUACCCCGGUAGUCCUAGCCGUAAACGAUGGGCACUGGGUAGGGGGCUCGCCGAUGGGCUCUCUGCCGUAGCGAAAGCGUGAAGUGCCCCGCCUGGGGAGUAUGGUCGCAAGGCUG